ACCUGACUGCUAUCGGAUUGAUACUAAGCCAUGCGAGUCAUUGUAGCAAUCCAAGGCAUACGGCUCAGUAACGCGUAGUCAACCUAACCUAUGGACGGGAAUAACCUCGGGAAACUGAGAAUAAUGCCCGAUAGAACACUAUACCUGGAAUGGUUUGUGUUCCAAAUGAUUUAUCGCCAUAGGAUGGGACUGCGGCCUAUCAGUUUGUUGGUGAGGUAAUGGCCCACCAAGACUAUUACAGGUACGGGCUCUGAGAGGAGUAGCCCGGAGAUGGGUACUGAGACACGGACCCAGGCCCUAUGGGGCGCAGCAGGCGAGAAAACUUUGCAAUGUGCGAAAGCACGACAAGGUUAAUCCGAGUGAUUUGUGCUAAACGAAUCUUUUGUUAGUCCUAGAAACACUAACGAAUAAGGGGUGGGCAAGUUCUGGUGUCAGCCGCCGCGGUAAAACCAGCACCUCAAGUGGUCAGGAUGAUUAUUGGGCCUAAAGCAUCCGUAGCCGGCCCUGUAAGUUUUCGGUUAAAUCUGUACGCUUAACGUACAGGCUGCCGGGAAUACUGCAGAGCUAGGGAGUGGGAGAGGUAGACGGUACUCGGUAGGAAGUGGUAAAAUGCUUUGAUCUAUCGAUGACCACCUGUGGCGAAGGCGGUCUACCAGAACACGUCCGACGGUGAGGGAUGAAAGCUGGGGGAGCAAACCGGAUUAGAUACCCGGGUAGUCCCAGCUGUAAACUAUGCAAACUCAGUGAUGCAUUGGCUUGUGGCCAAUGCAGUGCUGCAGGGAAGCCGUUAAGUUUGCCGCCUGGGAAGUACGUACGCAAGUAUGAAACUUAAAGGAAUUGGCGGGGGAGCACCACAAGGGGUGAAGCCUGCGGUUC
RNAcentral lists this ribosomal RNA (876 nucleotides) under uncultured crenarchaeote. RNAcentral's name for it is "bacterial SSU rRNA". It matches the Rfam family "Archaeal small subunit ribosomal RNA", at positions 21 to 903 of the family's 1478-position model. The record is from RNAcentral. Lineage: Archaea; Thermoproteati; Thermoproteota.